Molecule: transfer RNA, 52 nt
Filed under: Atypus karschi
Lineage: Eukaryota; Metazoa; Arthropoda; Arachnida; Araneae; Atypidae
Description: tRNA-Cys
Source: RNAcentral
UAAAGUUUACAAGGAGGUAUUUUAAGUUUGCAACUUAAAGUUAAAAAGUAGU